CACGUUGGAACCUGCCCCAAAGUGAGGAAUAAGCCACCGAAAGGUGGUCUAAUACUUCAUAAUAUCCAUCUCGUAUGGAUUAAAGCUUUAUGCGCUUUGGGAGGGGCCUGCGUAACAUUAGCUAGUUGGUGAGGUAAAAGCUCACCAAGGCUUCGAUGUUUAACUGGUUUGAGAGGAUGACCAGUCACACUGGGACUGAGAUACGGCCCAGACUCCUACGGGAGGCAGCAGUAAGGAAUCUUCCACAAUGGGGCAACCUGAUGGAGCAAUACCGCGUGCAGGAUGAAGCGUUUCGGCGUGUAAACUGCUUUUAUCACCGAAGAUUAUGACUGUAGGUGAAGAAUAAGGACCGGCUAACUACGUG
This 364-nucleotide ribosomal RNA is filed under the name uncultured bacterium. RNAcentral describes it as "bacterial SSU rRNA". It matches the Rfam family "Bacterial small subunit ribosomal RNA", at positions 114 to 507 of the family's 1533-position model. The record is from RNAcentral.